UAGGGAAUCUUCCACAAUGGACGCAAGUCUGAUGGAGCAACGCCGCGUGAGUGAAGAAGGUUUUAGGAUCGUAAAGCUCUGUUGUUGGUGAAGAAGGAUAGAGGUAGUAACUGGCCUUUAUUUGACGGUAAUCAACCAGAAAGUCACGGCUAACUACGUGCCAGCAGCCGCGGUAAUACGUAGGUGGCAAGCGUUGUCCGGAUUUAUUGGGCGUAAAGCGAGCGCAGGCGGAAGAAUAAGUCUGAUGUGAAAGCCCUCGGCUUAACCGAGGAACUGCAUCGGAAACUGGUUUGCUUGAGGGAAGAAGAAGAGAGUGGAAAUCCAUGUGUAGCGGUGGAAUGCGUAGAUAUAUGGAAGAACACCAGUGGCGAAGGCGAAUCUCUGGUCUGCAACUGACGCUGAGGCUCGAAAGCAUGGGUAGCGAACAGG
This 429-nucleotide ribosomal RNA is filed under the name Bacillota bacterium. RNAcentral describes it as "Firmicutes bacterium partial 16S ribosomal RNA". It matches the Rfam family "Bacterial small subunit ribosomal RNA", at positions 355 to 776 of the family's 1533-position model. Lineage: Bacteria; Bacillati; Bacillota. The record is from RNAcentral.